Molecule: transfer RNA, 73 nt
Filed under: Lumpenus sagitta (snake prickleback)
Lineage: Eukaryota; Metazoa; Chordata; Actinopteri; Perciformes; Stichaeidae
Description: tRNA-Asp
Rfam family: tRNA
About the family: Transfer RNA (tRNA) molecules are approximately 80 nucleotides in length. Their secondary structure includes four short double-helical elements and three loops (D, anti-codon, and T loops).
Source: RNAcentral
AAGACACUAGUAAAAAUGCACAUUACACCGCCUUGUCGAGGCAGAGUUGUGGGUUAAAUCCCCGCGUGUCUUA